Molecule: non-coding RNA, 98 nt
Organism: Acanthosepion pharaonis
Lineage: Eukaryota; Metazoa; Mollusca; Cephalopoda; Sepiida; Sepiidae
Source: the annotation of a GenBank genome assembly
CGUUGAAACACCCGUUCCCGUACGAUCACCUAAGUUAAGCAACGUCGAGCCUGGCCAAUACCUAGAUGGGCACCUGCUUGGGAAUACGAGGUGCAGUA